ACAUAACACUUAUCACGCCUCUUGUAAUUCAAUCAUUAUACAACAUAUCUUUUUUCUCAUUUACCAGCCUACUAGUAUCCGUGGGGGUCCAUAGGGGUCCCGCUACCCGUUAACCUUUAACAUUCAUAAUCAGUUUCCAGGGCCGUCCCCAUACCCCGUCCGGUAUGGGCGCCAAAACCAUAAACCUCAAUACCCCGUCCGGUAUGAGGGUGAA
RNAcentral lists this long non-coding RNA (214 nucleotides) under Carica papaya (papaya). Its description in RNAcentral is "long non-coding RNA (CPAP_LNC015533)". The record is from RNAcentral. Lineage: Eukaryota; Viridiplantae; Streptophyta; Magnoliopsida; Brassicales; Caricaceae.